Molecule: long non-coding RNA, 753 nt
Organism: Penaeus monodon (black tiger shrimp)
Lineage: Eukaryota; Metazoa; Arthropoda; Malacostraca; Decapoda; Penaeidae
Exons: 2
Source: RefSeq, a predicted model, not a curated record
CCCCCAUUCAACCUGGCUGGCUCUGGCACCAAUCCCAUGACUGCUAAUGCAUACCCGCCUAUGUUCAUCCCUACUAUCCAGCUGCUGCACAGCACCACUCCCCUCUCAUGCAUCAUCAGCUCCACCAGGAUGGUGGCAGCUCUGGUGGUCAGCGUGCAGGGACAGCAGGUGGACAAAACAAAGGUGGAUCUAAGCCAGCUUAUGGUGGUUCUUACUGGGGAUCAAACUGAGGGGGUCUCGUCUUGAGAAUCUUCUUAGUCCCUAAGGAAAUCCUAACCUGGGAACCUAUAAGAAAGGGGCCUGGAUGAUUGUGAAGUGAAUGAGAAGCCUGAAUACACUUGUGUGUUUUUGAGGCCGCAUUCAUUCCCAACCACGAUAUAGGUGCCUCUCAGCAUCCGGAGCAUCAAUUUGUCAAUUAGAAAUGAAAAUGCGCCACAGAAGUCUUUGAUUUAAACAAAAAAUAAAUUAAUUGCUUAGAUGGAUGUACAAGGGUCAAAACGUAGUUGUACUCUUUAGUCAGUGCAAAAAACAAAAAAAAAAAUACUAAUACAAAGGAUUUGCUUGUCUCGGUACAUAAUUUAAUACGUGUAUGAGGUAAGUUAUUCCUCACCUUAUAGGUCAUACUUUAUGUGAAGUCGUCCAAGAUGAUGUAAAGUGGAUAUAAUAUUUAGCAUUUGUGGCAAUGGUGUAUUCAGUCUUGCUCUUCUCACUUGUAAAUAACGGAUGCCACUGAAUAAACCAUGGGCGCAGGUC